This is a long non-coding RNA of Hevea brasiliensis (rubber tree), 1272 nucleotides long. RefSeq lists it as uncharacterized. The transcript is spliced from 2 exons. The record is from RefSeq and is a predicted model, not a curated record. NCBI's taxonomy places the organism in Eukaryota, Viridiplantae, Streptophyta, Magnoliopsida, Malpighiales, Euphorbiaceae.
GCAUCCACUGUAGAAGCUCAAAAGAUCCAAGAUAUCCUUCAUAUGUACUCUACGGUCCAUAAUAUGGAGGGGCAAGACAUGUUCUUAGGCUUGCCAGCCAUUAUCUUUAAGUCUAAAUCUUAGACUCUUCAAUCACUCAAAGCAAAAAUUAGAUGCAACAUUGCAGGAUGGAAUCUCAUGGUGGUAAAAAGGUGUUGAUAAAAGCCAUUGCAUCAACUAUUCUAGUGUAUGUAAUGACAUGUUUUUUAUUACCUUAUAACCUUUGUCAAUCUUUUAAUAGUAUGAUACCCAAUUUUUUAUGGGGGCAAAAAGAUCAAGAACAAAUAAUUCACUGGAUAGCUUGGGAUACGAUGUGUUUGCCUAAACUUCAAGGGGAGCUUAGUUUUCGUGAUUUGGAGUUGUUCAAUAGGUCUCUUUUAGCUAAACAAGGCUGGAGAAUUCUUACUGAACCUUCUUUAUUGGUGGUAAGGGUAUUAAAAGGGAAAUAUUUUCCCUAUACUUCCUUCAUGCAGGCAAAGCAGGGUUCUCGCCCCUCUUGGGCUUGACAGAGUAUUAUUUGGGGCAGACAAUUGUUAGAGCAAGGGGUGAGAUGGCUGGGUAACAAUAAAGCCUCAAUACUUUGUAAAUAAGAUAAAUGGAUCCCAAGAUCAUUUCCACAUCCUCCUCAGAUUAAGCAAUAUGUUGAUCCUUCAAUUAUUUGCAUCCCCCCCCCCCCCCAACUUAUCAACUCAGAUUCUUAAUCUUGGAAUAUGUUAAAGCUCAAAGAUGUCUUUCUAGAAAGAGAAAUCCAAAAUAUCAUUUCUAUCCCUCUUAGCUUAUUCUGAUGUGAGGAUGUGUUAAUAUGGCAGUAUGCAUCUUCAGGUUCAUAUUCGGUUAAAUCAGGUUAUUGGUUGGCUUCUCAUAUGAGAAACAGUAUGCGUUCAUAGUUGUAGCUUGGUCCAGGGCCUAAUUCUACUCAUUUCUUUUCAGAUAUAUGGAGGCACCUAUGGAAACUUCAUCUACCACCUAAACUAUCUGUUUUUCUAUGGAAGUUCCUUAAAGAAAAGCUACCAAUAAAUUACCAAAUUCAUAGAAGAUUGCCUGCUCUUCCAUCUGAGUGCCCAUUCUGCAGUUGCUUAGAAAUAGCCUCUCACCUCUUUUUCAAAUGGUCUAGGUUAGUUCCUUAAAGAGAUGCUUUGUUUUGCUUCCCUUCAUGGAGAUACAAUAGUAGAUAUUUGGUUGGAGAUUGUUUCUUCCUUUCAGGCGUUAACUAAUGAGAAUAAUCUUAUUGAA